This 508-nucleotide long non-coding RNA is filed under the name Phoenix dactylifera (date palm). RNAcentral describes it as "long non-coding RNA (PDAC_LNC006330)". The record is from RNAcentral. Lineage: Eukaryota; Viridiplantae; Streptophyta; Magnoliopsida; Arecales; Arecaceae.
AUUGGGCAAAAGAUCUUAAAUGAACAAGUUUUCAUACUUAUUAUUGAAGAGAGGUUAGAUUUCCAUUCGUAUUUUCCUUGAAUAUCAUUUGUGGUACUUCUUGAAUUAACUUAAGAAAGAUUCCACCUACAUUUAAUUAGAAAACUAUCUGUGGUAUCAAAUUAGAAAUCUUCUUGAAAUCACAUUCGAUGUGUUUUGCUCUAAAAUUAUCUUAAUUGGCUCUGAUCUAUACUCAUUAAUCUGAUUCUAAUAUUAUUGCCUUGAGUUAUAUAAUUCAUAUAUGAUUCAUAUAUGAUUAAUCUUAUUUGAGUAUUCUGAUCUUUGUGCUUAAUGUUUCACUACCUUUUUGAUGUUGUCAAAAAGGGGGAGAAAUAUCUAAGUAUAUGCUCAUAAUGCUUUAUGUUUUAUAUGCUCAUAAUGCUUUAUGUUUUGAAUUGAAUACAAAUCAGCUUAAAUUGAAAUAUGUUGAUUGUGUUAAGCUGAUUAAAUCUAAAGCAUUAUCAUGAAG